Molecule: ribosomal RNA, 406 nt
Filed under: uncultured bacterium
Lineage: Bacteria
Description: partial 16S ribosomal RNA
Rfam family: Bacterial small subunit ribosomal RNA
Source: RNAcentral
AUUGAACGCUGGCGGCAGGCCUAACACAUGCAAGUCGAACGAGUGGCGGACGGGUGAGUAAUGUCUGGGAAACUGCCUGAUGGCGGGGGAUAACUACUGGAAACGGUAGCUAAUACCGCAUACCCUCGGAUGUGCCCAGAUGGGAUUAGCUAGUGGGAGGGGUAAAGGUUCACCUAGGCGACGAUCCCUAGCUGGUCUGAGAGGAUGACCAGCCACAAUGGACCUGAGACACGGUCCAGACUCCUACGUGAGGCAGCAGUGGGGAAUAUUGCACAAUGGGCGCAAGCCUGAUGCAGCCAAGCCGCGGGUAUGAAGAAGGCAUUCGGGUUGUAAAGUACGUUCAGCGGGGAGGCGUUGACCGCAGAGGAAACACCGGCUAACUACGUGCCAGCGGCCGCGGUAAUAC